This 184-nucleotide non-coding RNA is filed under the name Desulfovibrio desulfuricans. RNAcentral's name for it is "6S RNA". It matches the Rfam family "6S / SsrS RNA". Rfam says of the family: E. coli 6S RNA was the first non coding RNA to be sequenced, but its function was unknown until recently. The record is from RNAcentral. Lineage: Bacteria; Pseudomonadati; Thermodesulfobacteriota; Desulfovibrionia; Desulfovibrionales; Desulfovibrionaceae. RNAcentral also lists the same sequence under 3 other names.
GCUUCCCUGGGACGCGCGUGAUUUAUGCCUCGGUGCUAACCUGACAAGAAUAUAAAAGGGAGCCGUCACUGUCUUUGUGUGUGCACGCCCGGCAAGACCGGGAAGCCCGGAAAGGACACACAGGCGCCCGACCUGGUUAUCCAGGUUCUGUACCGCAAGCAUGACACGGCGCUCCGGGGAACGC